Molecule: ribosomal RNA, 429 nt
Filed under: Pseudomonadota bacterium
Lineage: Bacteria; Pseudomonadati; Pseudomonadota
Description: Proteobacteria bacterium partial 16S ribosomal RNA
Rfam family: Bacterial small subunit ribosomal RNA
Source: RNAcentral
UGGGGAAUAUUGGACAAUGGGCGAACGCCUGAUCCAGCCAUGCCGCGUGUGUGAAGAAGGUCUUCGGAUUGUAAAGCACUUUAAGUUGGGAGGAAGGGCAGUAAGCGAAUACCUUGCUGUUUUGACGUUACCGACAGAAUAAGCACCGGCUAACUCUGUGCCAGCAGCCGCGGUAAUACAGAGGGUGCAAGCGUUAAUCGGAAUUACUGGGCGUAAAGCGCGCGUAGGUGGUUCGUUAAGUUGAAUGUGAAAGCCCCGGGCUCAACCUGGGAACUGCAUCCAAAGCUGGCGAGCUAGAGUAGGGCAGAGGGUGGUGGAAUUUCCUGUGUAGCGGUGAAAUGCGUAGAUAUAAGAAGGAACACCAGUGGCGAAGGCGACCACCUGGGCUCAUACUGACACUGAGGUGCGAAAGCGUGGGGAGCAAACAGG